RNAcentral lists this unclassified non-coding RNA (211 nucleotides) under Hevea brasiliensis (rubber tree). The record is from RNAcentral. Lineage: Eukaryota; Viridiplantae; Streptophyta; Magnoliopsida; Malpighiales; Euphorbiaceae.
CUGAUUCGUACUUGAAUUUUUCCAGCUCUGCAGAAUUUAUUUGGUUUUGUGAGAGCUGGCACCAUCACUGGAAAGAAUUUCAGAAAUUGAAAAUCUAAGGCUUGAAGGGAAAUUGAAAGUUAGUUGGGUCUUGUAUUGUGGGAAGCAAACAGUUUGGUGUUUUAGUUUAGUUUAAUUCACUUUUGUGAUCAAUCGAGUUGGAUAAGAUGGG